UGCUGUGUUCAACAGAGGGACCUAUCCGACUGUCCUGGUGGCCUCCAGGUUAAUGUCUAAGCUCCCUUCUCUGGAAUCCUGGAGCCUCACUGUCUGGGCCUGUGGGCAAGACAGCCUCUCCCCAAAUAGGAGGAGAAUCUGAACCCAGGACAGACAGAUGCCCUGAGGAAUGAUAAGACCUCAAGGCUGAUAUCCAGCAGCACCAGGGAGCACAGCAUUGGGGUGGUGAGCUAUGAGGAUGUGAGAACCCAAGGAGAAGUUGAGGCCAAAGAGAAGCCCAGAACUUCCAUGAUUAGGGUGCUGAGAUUCUCCCUACAGAUCAGUAGGACUCUCUCCUUUCCACCCACCCACUCACCCCAUCUUCCCUGGCCCUGCUUCCUGCACCAAUCAGCUCUCAAUAAAAUGUCCUCACUGAGUCAAUCAGGAAA
Molecule: long non-coding RNA, 428 nt
Organism: Phyllostomus discolor (pale spear-nosed bat)
Lineage: Eukaryota; Metazoa; Chordata; Mammalia; Chiroptera; Phyllostomidae
Exons: 2
Source: RefSeq, a predicted model, not a curated record